Siniperca chuatsi (mandarin fish) is the source of this 772-nucleotide long non-coding RNA. RefSeq lists it as uncharacterized. The record is from RefSeq and is a predicted model, not a curated record. The transcript has 3 exons. NCBI's taxonomy places the organism in Eukaryota, Metazoa, Chordata, Actinopteri, Centrarchiformes, Sinipercidae.
GGAGUUCUUUGAUCGGCGCCAUCAGAGUCAAAAGCCUGAAUGAACACCGUCAUUGUGCAGACUGGUGGAAAGAUAGCAUUGGCACAGGGAAGGAAACCAUGGAAACGAGAAGCUGAUGCACUUUGAAUGGAAAACACAGGACGGAAGUUUUCAGGCAUGACAGAUCGCAACAAAGACUGCUGAGUCCACAGUCCCUAAGAUAACGAAGGUUUGGUAAGAAUGCCUCAACUGUUUUAUAACUGCCGUACAUAUUUCUUUCAAUUAAUAUGUUCUAUAAUUUCCAUACAUAUUGUUUCUGUUGUUUUAACAUGUGUUUGUUGUGUUUGUUUAAAUUAAUUCAUGCAUGUUGAGUGCUUAUGUUGAGUGGGAACUAGGGUGCAUAUGUGUUGCACACGGACAUUUUUGAGGGAUGCAAUAGGAAAGAACGGACUUUUGGUGAGAGGUUGGUGUCUCUGCAUGUGAAUUUAAGUUGUGAAGAAGUUGCAAAGAAGACAAGAUGUUUUUUAUUUUUGUAUUUUGAUCGGGGCAUUUAAAGAACUCAUUCCCCCUUGGUUAUAUGCAGCCAGCGAGGUAUGUAAAGUAUGUUUGUGUUUCCCGAGUGUAUUUGUAUAGAGUUUUGCAAUAUAUGUGAAUGUGUUUAUGUUUUACAUUGUCAUACUGUAGUUUGAUGGUGGAUUUCAUUGACGGUGAACGUGAUAGCGGAGAAAAGAAAGAGAAAGGCAAUAAAUCCAUCAGUAUCCAGACCCAUGGCGUCGUUUAUUUCCCGGAGGGA